CCUACGGGAGGCAGCAGUGGGGAAUAUUGCACAAUGGGGGAAACCCUGAUGCAGCGACGCCGCGUGAGUGAAGAAGUACUUCGGUACGUAAAGCUCUAUCAGCAGGGAAGAAAAUGACGGUACCUGACUACGAAGCCCCGGCUAACUACGUGCCAGCAGCCGCGGUCCUACGUAGGGGGCACGCGUUAUCCGGAUUUACUGGGGGUAAAGGGAGUGUAGACGGCAUCGCAAGGCUGGAGUGAAAUCCCAGGGCUUAAACAUGGAACUGCGUUUGAAACUGUGCAGCUAGAGUGCAGGAGAGGUAGGCGGAAUGCCCGGUGUAGCGGUGAAAUGCGUAGAGAUCGGGAGGAACACCAGUGGCGAAGGCAGCCUACUGGGCUUUAACUGACGCUGAGGCACGAAAGCAUGGGUAGCGAACAGGAUUAGAUACCCUGGUAGUC
This 440-nucleotide ribosomal RNA is filed under the name uncultured bacterium. RNAcentral describes it as "partial 16S ribosomal RNA". It matches the Rfam family "Bacterial small subunit ribosomal RNA", at positions 338 to 795 of the family's 1533-position model. The record is from RNAcentral.